CCAGGCGAGAAACUCUACAAUGCGCGUAAGCGUGAUAGGGGAAAUCUGAGUGAUGCACUUCGGUGCAUCUUUUGCCAAGUAUAGUCAGCUUGGAGAAUAAGUGCUGGGUAAGACCGGUGGCAGCCGCCACGGUAAUACCGGCGGCACGAGUGGUGUCCGCGAUUAUUGGGCUUAAAGCGUCCGUAGCCGGUUAGAACCGUCUCAUGUGAAAUAUUGCUGCUCAACAGCAAUGCGUGCAUGAGAUACCUUCUGGCUAGGGAGUGGGAGAGGUCGAGAGUACUUAUGGGGUAGGGGUUAAAUCCUGUAAUCCUAUAAGGACUACCUGUGGCGAAGGCGCUCGACCAGAACAUAUCCGACGGUGAGUGACGAAGGCUAGGAGAACGAAUCGGAUUAGAUACCCCCGUAGUCC
This 409-nucleotide ribosomal RNA is filed under the name uncultured bacterium. Its description in RNAcentral is "bacterial SSU rRNA". It matches the Rfam family "Archaeal small subunit ribosomal RNA", at positions 335 to 747 of the family's 1478-position model. The record is from RNAcentral.